CCUACGGGUGGCAGCAGUGAGGAAUAUUGGUCAAUGGACGAGAGUCUGAACCAGCCAAGUAGCGUGAAGGAUGACUGCCCUAUGGGUUGUAAACUUCUUUUAUAUGGGAAUAAAAUGUUCCACGUGUGGGAUUUUGUAUGUACCAUAUGAAUAAGGAUCGGCUAACUCCGUGCCAGCAGCCGCGGUAAUACGGAGGAUCCGAGCGUUAUCCGGAUUUAUUGGGUUUAAAGGGAGCGUAGGUGGAUUGUUAAGUCAGUUGUGAAAGUUUGCGGCUCAACCGUAAAAUUGCAGUUGAAACUGGCAGUCUUGAGUACAGUAGAGGUGGGCGGAAUUCGUGGUGGAGCGGUGAAAUGCUUAGAUAUCACGAAGAACUCCGAUUGCGAAGGCAGUUCACUGGACUGCAACUGACACUGAGGCUCGAAAGUGUGGGUAUCAAACAGGAUUAGAUACCCUAGUAGUC
Molecule: ribosomal RNA, 460 nt
Filed under: uncultured bacterium
Lineage: Bacteria
Description: partial 16S ribosomal RNA
Rfam family: Bacterial small subunit ribosomal RNA
Source: RNAcentral